Capsicum annuum is the source of this 440-nucleotide long non-coding RNA. RefSeq lists it as uncharacterized. NCBI's taxonomy places the organism in Eukaryota, Viridiplantae, Streptophyta, Magnoliopsida, Solanales, Solanaceae. The transcript has 2 exons. The record is from RefSeq and is a predicted model, not a curated record.
CCGACUAAUCCUUUUAUAAAUAUGGAUACGUAAGCCAAUUCUCCUCAUUCAUUCCAAGCUACUCUUCACCUCCCCACUAAAAAAAAUAAUGGCAGGAUCCAUGAAAUUGAUGUCCACUUUAUGCCUUCUUCUAAUGCUCAUCUUUGCUACUGGAAUAUGGAAAUGACGAGCGGUUUGCAAGAAUUGGAAACUAAAAUCGAAGAGAUACAAUUUGAUAAUAUACAGUUCAGUUAUGAUGAGUUGGAAUUUUUGUUUAUUCUAACAAGAUCGAGGAAUUUGGAAUAUUUGCAUAGACAAUGGUAACAGAGGGAAGGGAAUGUGAGAAGCAGAGCCCACGCUAUUAUGGAACAUGCUUUGCUAACAAUGCUAAUAUGAACAGCAACUGUAAUUCUAUUUGUCAAUGUGAUGGUUUCGACCGUGAUUUUUGCCGUCUUACUAAA